CACAUGCAAGUCGAGCGAGGCCCUUCUUCGGGAGGUGCCCUAGCGGCGAACGGGUGAGUAACACGUGGGCAACCUGCCCUCAGCUCUGGGAUAACUCCAAGAAAUUGGUGCUAAUACCGGAUGUGACCGCUGACCGCAUGGUCUGGUGGUGGAAAGAUUCAUCGGCUGAGGAUGGGCCCGCGGCCUAUCAGCUUGUUGGUGGGGUAAUGGCCCACCAAGGCGACGACGGGUAGCCGGCCUGAGAGGGUGACCGGCCACACUGGGACUGAGACACGGCCCAGACUCCUACGGGAGGCAGCAGUGGGGAAUAUUGCGCAAUGGGCGAAAGCCUGACGCAGCGACGCCGCGUGAGGGAUGACGGCCUUCGGGUUGUAAACCUCUUUCAGUAGGGACGAAGCGCAAGUGACGGUACCUACAGAAGAAGCACCGGCCAACUACGUGCCA
Molecule: ribosomal RNA, 444 nt
Filed under: Modestobacter sp.
Lineage: Bacteria; Bacillati; Actinomycetota; Actinomycetes; Geodermatophilales; Geodermatophilaceae
Description: bacterial SSU rRNA
Rfam family: Bacterial small subunit ribosomal RNA
Source: RNAcentral